GUGUAUGGUGUACCAGUUGUCGUGCCAACGGCAUAGCUGGGUAGCUAUGUAUGGACGGGAUAAGUGCUGAAAGCAUCUAAGCAUGAAGCCCCCCUCAAGAUGAGAUUUCCCAACUUCGGUUAUAAGAUCCCUCGAAGAUGACGAGGUUAAUAGGUUCGAGGUGGAAGCGUGGUGACACGUGGAGCUGACGAAUACUAAUCGAUCGAAGACUUAAUCAA
This 218-nucleotide ribosomal RNA is filed under the name Staphylococcus epidermidis. RNAcentral's name for it is "partial 23S ribosomal RNA". It matches the Rfam family "Bacterial large subunit ribosomal RNA", at positions 2705 to 2925 of the family's 2925-position model. Lineage: Bacteria; Bacillati; Bacillota; Bacilli; Caryophanales; Staphylococcaceae. The record is from RNAcentral.